GUAGGUGGCAAGCGUUGUCCGGAACUAUUGGGCGUAAAGCGCGCGCAGGCGGUCCUUUAAGUCUGAUGUGAAAGCCCACGGCUCAACCGUGGAGGGUCAUUGGAAACUGGGGGACUUGAGUACAGAAGAGGAAAGCGGAAUUCCAAGUGUAGCGGUGAAAUGCGUAGAGAUUUGGAGGAACACCAGUGGCGAAGGCGGCUUUCUGGUCUGUAACUGACGCUGAGGCGCGAAAGCGUGGGGAGCAAACAGGAUUAGAUACCCUGGUAGUCCACGCCGUAAACGAUGAGUGCUAAGUGUUAGGGGGUUUCCCGCCCCCCUUAGUGCUGCAGCUAACGCAUUAAGCACUCCGCCUGGGGGAGUACGGCCGCAAGGCUG
This 375-nucleotide ribosomal RNA is filed under the name uncultured organism. RNAcentral describes it as "partial 16S ribosomal RNA". It matches the Rfam family "Bacterial small subunit ribosomal RNA", at positions 527 to 896 of the family's 1533-position model. The record is from RNAcentral.